This 417-nucleotide ribosomal RNA is filed under the name Escherichia coli. Its description in RNAcentral is "partial 23S ribosomal RNA". It matches the Rfam family "Bacterial large subunit ribosomal RNA", at positions 419 to 838 of the family's 2925-position model. Lineage: Bacteria; Pseudomonadati; Pseudomonadota; Gammaproteobacteria; Enterobacterales; Enterobacteriaceae. The record is from RNAcentral.
GGGACACGUGGUAUCCUGUCUGAAUAUGGGGGGACCAUCCUCCAAGGCUAAAUACUCCUGACUGACCGAUAGUGAACCAGUACCGUGAGGGAAAGGCGAAAAGAACCCCGGCGAGGGGAGUGAAAAAGAACCUGAAACCGUGUACGUACAAGCAGUGGGAGCACGCUUAGGCGUGUGACUGCGUACCUUUUGUAUAAUGGGUCAGCGACUUAUAUUCUGUAGCAAGGUUAACCGAAUAGGGGAGCCGAAGGGAAACCGAGUCUUAACUGGGCGUUAAGUUGCAGGGUAUAGACCCGAAACCCGGUGAUCUAGCCAUGGGCAGGUUGAAGGUUGGGUAACACUAACUGGAGGACCGAACCGACUAAUGUUGAAAAAUUAGCGGAUGACUUGUGGCUGGGGGUGAAAGGCCAAUCAAAC